UAUUGCCUGCCCUCAGGCACCUUUGGAUCUUCAGUCUUUAUAUGACAUGGGCCUCCUGGAACUGAAAGAUGGCCUCCCUUAAUUUACCCCAGCUUGGUCUCUAGUGCCAUGAGAUAGGAGAAUCUACAACAAGCAGCGCAAAUCCUAAGCACAAGCUGCCCAAGCACCUCCGCUGCCCAACUUUAAAGAAUUCAUGGACCACACACUAUUGCAAGUCCGCAUGAUAUAUGGCACCCUACACAACAUGAAGCGUUCCUUAUGGGAACUGAACGAUAAAAUUGAUGCCCUAACAUAAUUGAUCACCCAAACUAGGCACUCAAACAUACGAACUCGCAACAGAUGAACACAAGAGGAGUCUCUUUCUCUUUACUUUACUCCAAUUUUUUUCUUUUGCCAUUUUAUCUCCUGUUCUGGUUUCUGUUUAUUCAUUGCCUUCUCCUAACCUUGCAACACAUUGGGAACAAUGUGUAAUUUAAGUGUGGGGGAAGUAGC
Molecule: long non-coding RNA, 492 nt
Filed under: Carica papaya (papaya)
Lineage: Eukaryota; Viridiplantae; Streptophyta; Magnoliopsida; Brassicales; Caricaceae
Description: long non-coding RNA (CPAP_LNC016002)
Source: RNAcentral